UACGAAGGUCCCGAGCGUUGUUCGGAAUCACUGGGCGUAAAGGGAGCGUAGGCGGUGCGGUAAGUCAGAUGUGAAAUCCCGGGGCUCAACCCCGGAACUGCAUCCGAUACUGCCGUGCUAGAGUGAUGGAGAGGUAGCUGGAAUUCUUGGUGUAGCAGUGAAGUGCGUGGAUAUCAAGAGGAACACUCGUGGCGAAAGCGAGCUACUGGACAACUCCUGACGCUGAGGCUCGAAGGCCAGGGUAGCGAAAGGG
This 253-nucleotide ribosomal RNA is filed under the name uncultured bacterium. RNAcentral describes it as "partial 16S ribosomal RNA". It matches the Rfam family "Bacterial small subunit ribosomal RNA", at positions 524 to 776 of the family's 1533-position model. The record is from RNAcentral.